GGGGUGGUGGCGCAGUUGGCUAGCGCGUAGGUCUCAUAAUUCUGAGGUCGAGAGGUCGAGAGUUCGAGCCUCUCUCACCCCA
This 82-nucleotide transfer RNA is filed under the name Gossypium raimondii (Peruvian cotton). RNAcentral describes it as "tRNA-Met (CAT) (tRNA-Met-CAT-3-1)". It matches the Rfam family "tRNA". Rfam says of the family: Transfer RNA (tRNA) molecules are approximately 80 nucleotides in length. Their secondary structure includes four short double-helical elements and three loops (D, anti-codon, and T loops). The record is from RNAcentral. Lineage: Eukaryota; Viridiplantae; Streptophyta; Magnoliopsida; Malvales; Malvaceae.